UUAUUAGAUCAAAACCAAACGAUUCAUUUCGUUUCCUUGGUGAUUCUGAAUAACUUUGAGCGGAUCGCACGGCCUCACGCCGGCGACGUAUCCUUCCAAGGUGUGCCCUAUCAACUGUCGACUGUGGCAUAGACGCCCACAGUGGUUUUGACGGGUAACGGGGAAUUAGGGUUCGAUUCCGGAGAGGGAGCCUGAGAGACGGCUACCACUUCUACGGAAGGCAGCAGGCACGCAAAUUACCCACUGGUCGCAGACCGAGGUAGUGACGAAAACUAACGACACCGGACUCAUCCGAGGCCCGGUAAUCGGAAUGAGUACACUUUAAAUCCUUUAACGAGGAACAAUUGGAGGGCAAGUCUGGUGCCAGCAGCCGCGGUAAUUCCAGCUCCAAUAGCGUAUAUUAAAGUUGUUGCGGUUAAAAAGCUCGUAGUUGGAUCUCGGCGGGCAGGGGGCGGUUCGCUUGUUUGCGCUACUGCCCCGCUUUGCCUGUGGUUGUUUGGCGGAGGUUUCGGGGUGCUCUUUACCGAGUGUCUCGGGAUGCCGUCAGGUUUACUUUGAAAAAAUUAGAGUGCUCAA
This 576-nucleotide ribosomal RNA is filed under the name uncultured eukaryote. Its description in RNAcentral is "bacterial SSU rRNA". It matches the Rfam family "Eukaryotic small subunit ribosomal RNA", at positions 207 to 778 of the family's 1831-position model. The record is from RNAcentral.